AACGAACGCUGGCGGCAUGCCUAACACAUGCAAGUCGAACGAACCCUUCGGGGUUAGUGGCGCACGGGUGCGUAACGCGUGGGAAUCUGCCCUUUGCUUCGGAAUAACUCAGGGAAACUUGUGCUAAUACCGGAUGAUGUCUUCGGACCAAAGAUUUAUCGGCAAGGGAUGAGCCCGCGUAGGAUUAGGUAGUUGGUGGGGUAAAGGCCUACCAAGCCGACGAUCCUUAGCUGGUCUGAGAGGAUGAUCAGCCACACUGGGACUGAGACACGGCCCAGACUCCUACGGGAGGCAGCAGUGGGGAAUAUUGGACAAUGGGCGCAAGCCUGAUCCAGCAAUGCCGCGUGAGUGAUGAAGGCCCUCGGGUCGUAAAGCUCUUUUACCAGGGAUGAUAAUGACAGUACCUGGAAAAUAAGCUCCGGCUAACUCCGUG
This 433-nucleotide ribosomal RNA is filed under the name uncultured bacterium. RNAcentral's name for it is "partial 16S ribosomal RNA". It matches the Rfam family "Bacterial small subunit ribosomal RNA", at positions 29 to 507 of the family's 1533-position model. The record is from RNAcentral.